RNAcentral lists this ribosomal RNA (497 nucleotides) under uncultured bacterium. RNAcentral describes it as "partial 16S ribosomal RNA". It matches the Rfam family "Bacterial small subunit ribosomal RNA", at positions 28 to 507 of the family's 1533-position model. The record is from RNAcentral.
GAUGAACGCUGGCGGCGUGCCUAAUACAUGCAAGUCGAGCGAACAGAUGAGGAGCUUGCUCCUCUGACGUUAGCGGCGGACGGGUGAGUAACACGUGGAUAACCUACCUAUAAGACUGGGAUAACUUCGGGAAACCGGAGCUAAUACCGGAUAAUAUAUUGAACCGCAUGGUUCAAUAGUGAAAGACGGUUUUGCUGUCACUUAUAGAUGGAUCCGCGCCGCAUUAGCUAGUUGGUAAGGUAACGGCUUACCAAGGCAACGAUGCGUAGCCGACCUGAGAGGGUGAUCAGCCACACUGGAACUGGGACACGGUCCAGACUCCUACGGGAGGCAGCAGUAGGGAAUCUUCCGCAAUGGGCGAAAGCCUGACGGAGCAACGCCGCGUGAGGGAUGAAGGUCUUCGGAUCGUAAAACUCUGUUAUUAGGGAAGAACAAAUGUGUAAGUAACUAUGCACGUCUUGACGGUACCUAAUCAGAAAGCCACGGCUAACUACGUG